GCCCAGGUGGCGGAAUUGGUAGACGCGCACGUUUCAGGUGCGUGUGUUUUACGACGUGCAGGUUCGAGUCCUGUUCUGGGCA
Prevotella multiformis DSM 16608 is the source of this 82-nucleotide transfer RNA. It matches the Rfam family "tRNA". Rfam says of the family: Transfer RNA (tRNA) molecules are approximately 80 nucleotides in length. The record is from Rfam. Lineage: Bacteria; Pseudomonadati; Bacteroidota; Bacteroidia; Bacteroidales; Prevotellaceae.